This 72-nucleotide transfer RNA is filed under the name Cavia porcellus (domestic guinea pig). It matches the Rfam family "tRNA". From Rfam's summary of the family: Transfer RNA (tRNA) molecules are approximately 80 nucleotides in length. Lineage: Eukaryota; Metazoa; Chordata; Mammalia; Rodentia; Caviidae. The record is from Rfam by way of RNAcentral.
GGGGAUAUAGCUCAGCAGUGCAGCACCUGCCUGGCAAGUACAAGGUCCUGAGUUUGAUUCCCAGUACCCACA